This 402-nucleotide ribosomal RNA is filed under the name uncultured bacterium. RNAcentral describes it as "bacterial SSU rRNA". It matches the Rfam family "Bacterial small subunit ribosomal RNA", at positions 355 to 774 of the family's 1533-position model. The record is from RNAcentral.
UGGGGAAUAUUGCACACUGGGCGAAAGCCUGAUGCAGCAACGCCGCGUGAGUGAUGAAGGCCUUCGGGUUGUAAAGCUCUGUCUUCUGGGACGAUAAUGACGGUACCAGAGGAGGAAGCCACGGCUAACUACGUGCCAGCAGCCGCGGUAAUACGUAGGUGGCAAGCGUUGUCCGGAUUUACUGGGCGUAAAGGAUGCGUAGGCGGAUACUUAAGUCAGAUGUGAAAAUCCCGGGCUUAACUUGGGAACUGCAUUUGAAACUGGGUAUCUAGAGUGCGGGAGAGGAAAGUGGAAUUCCUAGUGUAGCGGUGAAAUGCGUAGAGAUUAGGAAGAACACCAGUGGCGAAGGCGACUUUCUGGACCGUAACUGACGCUGAGGCAUGAAAGCGUGGGGAGCAAACA